CAAAGGCAUAGACUUAGAAAUUAAAAGUAAAAUAAAAAAGAACAAUCACGAUCAACCAAUCAAUUUAAUUUUGGGGAUCUUCUUGCUCUUGUCCUACUUUUUUCAAUU
This 108-nucleotide non-coding RNA is filed under the name Heterosigma akashiwo. Lineage: Eukaryota; Raphidophyceae; Chattonellales; Chattonellaceae. The record is from RNAcentral.